RNAcentral lists this ribosomal RNA (534 nucleotides) under uncultured bacterium. Its description in RNAcentral is "bacterial SSU rRNA". It matches the Rfam family "Bacterial small subunit ribosomal RNA", at positions 50 to 577 of the family's 1533-position model. The record is from RNAcentral.
UACACAUGCAAGUCGAACGGUUGCAUAUGUGCUUGCACCUGAUGGCGAGUGGCGAACGGGUGAGUAAUACAUCGGAACGUGCCCAGCCGUGGGGGAUAACGUAGCGAAAGUUACGCUAAUACCGCAUACGAUCUAAGGAUGAAAGCGGGGGACCGUAAGGCCUCGCGCGAUAGGAGCGGCCGAUGUCAGAUUAGGUAGUUGGUGAGGUAAAGGCUCACCAAGCCGACGAUCUGUAGCUGGUCUGAGAGGACGACCAGCCACACUGGGACUGAGACACGGUCCAGACUCCUACGGGAGGCAGCAGUGGGGAAUUUUGGACAAUGGACGCAAGUCUGAUCCAGCCAUUCCGCGUGCAGGACGAAGGCCUUCGGGUUGUAAACUGCUUUUGUACGGAACGAAAAAGCUCUUACUAAUACUAGGAGUCCAUGACGGUACCGUAAGAAUAAGCACCGGCUAACUACGUGCCAGCAGCCGCGGUAAUACGUAGGGUGCAAGCGUUAAUCGGAAUUACUGGGCGUAAAGCGUGCGCAGGCG